GACGAACGCUGGCGGCGUGCUUAACACAUGCAAGUCGAACGGAAAGGCCCUGCUUUUGUGGGGUGCUCGAGUGGCGAACGGGUGAGUAACACGUGAGUAACCUGCCCUUGACUUUGGGAUAACUUCAGGAAACUGGGGCUAAUACCGGAUAGGAGCUCCUGCUGCAUGGUGGGGGUUGGAAAGUUUCGGCGGUUGGUGAUGGACUCGCGGCUUAUCAGCUUGUUGGUGGGGUAGUGGCUUACCAAGGCUUUGACGGGUAGCCGGGCUGAGAGGGUGACCGGCCACAUUGGGACUGAGAUACGGCCCAGACUCCUACGGGAGGCAGCAGUGGGGAAUAUUGCACAAUGGGCGGAAGCCUGAUGCAGCAACGCCGCGUGCGGGGUGACGGCCUUCGGGUUGUAAACCGCUUUCGCCUGUGACGAGGCGAGAGUGACGGUAAUGGGUAAAGAAGCACCGGCUAACUACGUG
RNAcentral lists this ribosomal RNA (468 nucleotides) under uncultured bacterium. RNAcentral's name for it is "partial 16S ribosomal RNA". It matches the Rfam family "Bacterial small subunit ribosomal RNA", at positions 28 to 507 of the family's 1533-position model. The record is from RNAcentral.